GCCAGCAACCAUAUCAUCCUGCAACUCAGAACUAACAACCCACUGGAACUAAGCAGGUGUGAGCCUGCUCAGUACCUGGAUGGGAAACCUCCUGGGGAAAAAACUCAGGUUGCUGCUGAAA
RNAcentral lists this ribosomal RNA (121 nucleotides) under Lepisosteus oculatus (spotted gar). The record is from RNAcentral. Lineage: Eukaryota; Metazoa; Chordata; Actinopteri; Semionotiformes; Lepisosteidae.